GUAGCUGCAGGAUGCAGCCACCAGCUGCAGGAUAUGGGGCCCUGAGGGCCCAUUAGAGGCUGGUGGGUUAGAAAAAUAAGAGUUUUCCUCUUAGUUUUAGCCUUUGUCUCCUUGCUGAGUGACCAAAGGGUCAGCAAGAAUAUUUUGGAACCCUGGUGGACUUGGCCAGACCAUCCCAGGAGGGAGAGCCUGAGGGACUCUGGAUCAUUUUUGGCUUCUUACAAUACACCUGAAGGUUAAGGAUCUACCCCCAAAUCUCCAGGAGUUUCCCAGCCUGCAUCUGGCAACCAUACACCCUCUUCCCCUUCCAGUGGCCAAGGAGGCCCUGGCAAGUCUCACGUCGGCAGUGAGCAGAAGUGCCGCCAUCUUGGAAGUGCCGUUCCUAUAACAACCAUUGCUACUGAAUGAGGGCUGGGUCCUAGGAUGGGCAUAUCACGGAAUGGAGUUUGUUGCUUCUCGAAGGCCACGAUCCCCUGUACACCUUCGUGAGAAGAAGCGCCGUUGAAGCCAGUGGCGGUUACCUCAGGGCACAUACUCGUAGCUGAGGGCUGUAAGUUGCCAACAUGAGGAAGGGAACUUUGGCUCGCCUCUGGACGGCUCCGGUUUUGAGGAGACCCAGCACAAAGGCACCUUUCAGCUUUCAGACACCGACUUUUCCCACAUGGGCUACAGCCAGAAAAAAAGAAUAGCGCGGCUUCAAAGUUGGCUUGGCACAGGAAAGCAUUUUUGCCUUUACCCUCGUGGGCCUGCACCUGCCUGAAACAACUGCGGAUCACGCGGAGCGAGGACAUCGAAAGAAGUGUAGAAGCGGGAAGAGGGUAUCGAGAAAAGAAACACCAAAAUAUUACCUGGGACAGAAUUUUGACGCUGGCCGGUUGAGACAAAACCAGGUCAAGGUAUUUUGUCGCCUCAGCCAAGGGUAAGGGAUAAAACAGGCCCCAAUCCAUUUGAAAAUCGUUGCGACGGAGACUGCAGUUCUAAAGACCCUGGUGAGACCAAAUGCAAAACUCACUGAGGGGGCUUCUAUCCAGUAAAAACGAUCAGCGCUCUACUCCAUGGGACAAGUUAAGUGGCAAGUCGCUAAGUUAAGCCCCGUGGGUUUUAGAGAGGUGGGAAGCUCUUAACUUCGGUUGGAUUGGGGCCGCCGGACUAACGUCUGAGUAAACCUGCGCGGGAUUGAAUUGCAAGCCUGACCAAACAACAGCAGGGGAUCCAAAAAUGGAGCUUUUAUCAUGGGAUUUCAAGAGGACUUAGGUGCAACCAAUGGCUCCUGGAUCGGAGUCAUUGCUUUUUAUAAAAAACAUGUGCAUGAUGAAGAAAAGAGCUUCCAUGUGAAUACUUGUGAGCAUGUGUGUUUGUGGGUGUUGUGUGGUGUGGUGCUGUGUGUGUGUGGCUUUUUAUGUUAUUUUUUUUCCUCUUUUUAUUUCUCAAAUACAUUAUUUUUUCUAUUUAUAAUAACUGCUGAUAUACAGACAAUAUACAAAUUCCAUUUUUUCCUGGGCACUUCAGCUUUCCGUGACAACUCCCGUGCAAUUAAUAAAAAGUGCCUUUUUUUGAAAAGUCAAAAAAA
Molecule: long non-coding RNA, 1570 nt
Organism: Heteronotia binoei (common prickly gecko)
Lineage: Eukaryota; Metazoa; Chordata; Lepidosauria; Squamata; Gekkonidae
Exons: 4
Source: RefSeq, a predicted model, not a curated record